GUCCACGCCGUAAACGAUGGAUACUAGCUGUUCGGGUUUACCUGAGUGGCUAAGCGAAAGUGAUAAGUAUCCCACCUGGGGAGUACGGGCGCAAGCCUGAAACUCAAAGGAAUUGACGGGGCCCGCACAAGCGGUGGAGCAUGUGGUUUAAUUCGAUGAUACGCGAGGAACCUUACCAGGGCUUAAAAUGUAAGUUGCAUUAGGUGGAGACACUUAUUUCUUCGGACCACUUACAAGGUGCUGCAUGGUUGUCGU
RNAcentral lists this ribosomal RNA (255 nucleotides) under uncultured bacterium. RNAcentral's name for it is "partial 16S ribosomal RNA". It matches the Rfam family "Bacterial small subunit ribosomal RNA", at positions 793 to 1055 of the family's 1533-position model. The record is from RNAcentral.